AGUAGUUAAUGCCAUCUGUUUGUUUUUUUCUCUGCUGACCCUGACAGGGUAGCAGGGGAACAGUGGAGAAAUGUGUGGUGUUAUAGUUCUGUGACCCUCAGGGAAUAACAGGUAGUGUUUCUUGUGAAACACUAAGCAAAAGCAGUAACCUCAUCAUUAGCUGUAACUAGAUUAAAGAAGGCGUGCUAAAUUCUCCUGAUGUGUUGCGCUGUUAAAUAGAAACAUCACUUUUUGUUCAAGAUUGUAUGGUACUUCCAUCACCAAUAAAGAUUUUAGCCCAAAUAUUUCUGAGUGUAUUAGGACUUUUUUCCCUCUACUGUACUCUUGCCUAACUUCCACUUCUUUUUCCAAAUCCAGGAUUAGUUACAUAGACCAGUGCUUAUCUGUGUACACUCGCUUUAUAGGUCAAUAUUCAGCUGCCAGCCAUGAAGCAAACCGAGUUCAAGCAGGCUGACUUGGAACAGCAGAAACCUGCCAAAGAUGUACCUAAAGCAGUACCUACAGUAAAAAAGGCAGACUCGCUGCAGGCUAAAGAAAGAAUAAAUGACGCAGCUGACAUCAGAAAACAGGAGCCUAAGGCAGAAGAGAAUCUUUCUAGUCAACUGAAAAACCCACAGGAUUCACUCAAGGCUGCUGCAGAUUACAAGGAGAUACCCCCUGAGUCAGAGAAAAAGCUGAAUCCCUCUGAAGAUGAAAAACAAGUAGCUGAGCAAGAUGGAUUACAGCCGGCAGCAGAGCAGGCUGAGAGUGAAGAAGUUGAGAGGGAGGAGCUAGUAAAUUUUGAUGCUAAGCAGGAUGACUUGCCCCCCGGAAAGGCUGACAAACAGGAACAUGAAGCACUGAACCAGGACAAGGGUAUUGAUUACAAUGUAGAUGAGAAUGAAGCUGAAUCAGAAACGGACAAGCAAGCAGCACUUGCAGGGAUUGAAAAUGUUCAAAACUCUGAAGAUGUGAAGAACCACUUACAUGAGCAUGGUGAAGAACGACAGAGGUUGUGAAAAAAGGAGGUUCAUGGUGCAGCUUGGUCUCCUCUUCAUAUAAAUGCAGCAAUGAUGAGAGCAAAGCGAUCUGAGAAUGUUUUGAUUGUCUUCUCAAGGCUUCAAUAAGGGCCCAAAUGAAGUAGUAUUUUCUUGUGAAGUUUUAGUACUGUUUCAGUGGUGAAAGAAGUAAUCAUCUUAAAUCUUGGGAGGCUUGUUUUAAGCAGCUUGACCUCUGGAAUGACUCACUCUUUCUUUCCUAUCAAUUACAAAGUUGAAACCAACUAGCAGUAAACUUUGAAGUUGGCUAUCUCGUACAGUCAUACUACAGUAACAGUACGUGUGGAUUGCUGGCAGAUGAGACAGUCCUCUGCCAAGGAUGGAACUCUCCCCUGAGCAACAACGCAGUAGAGAAAUCCCCAGCUGAGUUUUAAGCCAAGCUUGAGGAACUAAGUUACCUUGACAAAACAUGGGAAGGGUGAAGAAUGGUCCAUGCUGCAGUCUGCCCGUGUGCCUAUUCUGGCACAUUUUUGCUGCAGUGUAGAUAGACUCAGAAAGCAUGAUUUUUAGUCGUCAGAUAUUAGGCAGUAUGAUAUAUUUUCCUGGGCCUACACUGGCCUAUAACCAGGCUGAAACACUGUCCUGGUUGUGUUCUUAGCUUUCAGGUUAAGAAAAGAAGAAUGAUUCUAACAAUACUGUCUUCUUGUUAAGAGAUUAGCAGGAAUAUUUUUCUGAAAGCUCUGCUGGACUCCUGUUCACAAGAUCAGUAUGACGGUAUGGUUCAGUUACCACUAACUUGCACAAGUUAGGAGUGUUAAAAUUCAGGCUCCUCAACUUCUCAUGACAGAAGGCAUCUGAAAUAGCUACGAAGUGCUGCGACUCCUUCCAGCCACUGUCUUCUGCUAAAGAGUAGAAAGGCAAAUGCUUGCCUUGUAGAGCAGCAGUCAUCUCGGCUGUUCCAAGUGACUGAUCUUCCCUGGCAGGCUUCUGAGAAAGGUGAACCAGGCUAUGCAUCUACCAGAUGCCUCUGUGUCUCCCACAGGUGAAGUUGUAGUUGUUGUGAAGUCCUGUGUUAUGCACAAUGUUAUCAUGGUGUUAAUGUUCUGUAGUCUCAUCUUUUCUGUAACUUGUUGAACGUAAACUAGAAACUAGUUUACUUGCCAUAACCCAGAAACACUCUCUACUACCACUGAAGCACCCUUCGGUGCAGUCCAGCCUGCACUGUGUGUCGCCAGCUGUUUACAAGAUGCUUGGAGAAACCUUCCUGAGCGUGAACCGACCUCUGUGGAGACAGCGUGGGAGCAGACAGACACGACUCAUUUCCCAACCUGCAAUUCCAUUUAAGAAAAUACAACUUUGUCUUGGCUUUCUCUUAACAAACACACUUCAUUUUGUAACUUCUUUCCUGGUGUGUUGUUCCUCAUUGUACUAGUUUACAACUCCUGUACCUUCAGAUGACAUAAGUAUGCCAGUGGAAGGUUGGUUCUUUUGUGUGUGAAGAAAGUACUAGUUGUCAUCACUGAGUGAAAGGCAGAGCUCAAGUCAAAUGGUGCCUACUAAGCCUAAAUACGUAAACAGUUCUUUGAUAGACUUGACACAUGUAACUUGAAUUCUUCUAAGAAAAGCACUGACUUCCAUUACGGAGUUCUUGGUUAUUCUGUUGGGGUUUUUUCACUAUGUAAGUCAGACUUAACUGACUACAGUCAAUACAGCAGGAAAAAAUGCUUGUAAGCAGAGAGAAAAGGAGGUAUAAGCAUCUUCUCUGACAAGUGUUGGUACGCUUGGGCUAUUAAGGUUGGUUGUUGCACAUAAUAGCAUGCUUUAGCAUCAAAAUUUUACCCAUAUUCCAAGUAAAAGGAGGAUUUUCUUAGGACUUAAUCUGUAAACAGUUAUGUAGCUGAGAUUAAGUCAAUCAGGAAUUUAAUAUGUUAAAGAGUGUAAAAUAUACUGGUAAAGAUACAACAAAAUCCCAAGGUAAUGAAUAUAUUGCCAGAGACUUCUCUUUGGGCUGUAUUUCUGUACAGGACCCAAACCUGAGUAGGCCAGCUGCAUGUUGUCCCCUCCAUACACAAGAACACCUUUGUAUGAAGCACCUCGGACAGCAGGGGCUCUGAAAACCUGCACAAGAGCAAUCUUCAGAAGCACAAAGGCAUACAAUCAUUCUCAAUGGCUUCAAGCACUACGGGGAUAUAACUAGAGUGGUAGAUUUCUAGUAGACGACAGGCCUGUAUGUCUACUAUAGAGAAUUUAAAAUUAAAGGGCUUUUAGUUGAACAAAACAUGAGAUUCACUUGGAACUGUGAUUUACAUAGUGUGGUCUAUCACGAAAAUUUUUAGCUGUGUAAUCAUUCCAGGGUUAAAUUAACACUUGUCCUUGAUGAUUUUUAAAUACUAAGCCUGAUUCAUUUCAGAUAAACGUUUUACAAUAAAAAUAAUCUUGUCUACUGUGUAUUCA
This is a long non-coding RNA of Calidris pygmaea (Spoon-billed sandpiper), 3431 nucleotides long. Lineage: Eukaryota; Metazoa; Chordata; Aves; Charadriiformes; Scolopacidae. The record is from Ensembl.